This 301-nucleotide ribosomal RNA is filed under the name uncultured bacterium. Its description in RNAcentral is "partial 16S ribosomal RNA". It matches the Rfam family "Bacterial small subunit ribosomal RNA", at positions 509 to 807 of the family's 1533-position model. The record is from RNAcentral.
CAGCCGCCACGGUAAUACGUAGGGUGCAAGCGUUAAUCGGAAUUACUGGGCGUAAAGCGUGCGCAGGCGGUGUUGUAAGACUGAUGUGAAAUCCCCGGGCUCAACCUGGGAACUGCAUUGGUGACUGCAACGCUGGAGUGCGGCAGAGGGGGAUGGAAUUCCGCGUGUAGCAGUGAAAUGCGUAGAGAUCGGGAGGAACAUCAGUGGCGAAGGCGGCCAUCUGGGACAACACUGACGCUGAGGCACGAAAGCGUGGGGAGCAAACAGGAUUAGAUACCCCCGUAGUCCCUGUCUCUUAUAC